Molecule: ribosomal RNA, 551 nt
Filed under: Saccharomyces cerevisiae (brewer's yeast)
Lineage: Eukaryota; Fungi; Ascomycota; Saccharomycetes; Saccharomycetales; Saccharomycetaceae
Description: partial large subunit ribosomal RNA
Rfam family: Eukaryotic large subunit ribosomal RNA
Source: RNAcentral
GAAAAGAAACCAACCGGGAUUGCCUUAGUAACGGCGAGUGAAGCGGCAAAAGCUCAAAUUUGAAAUCUGGUACCUUCGGUGCCCGAGUUGUAAUUUGGAGAGGGCAACUUUGGGGCCGUUCCUUGUCUAUGUUCCUUGGAACAGGACGUCAUAGAGGGUGAGAAUCCCGUGUGGCGAGGAGUGCGGUUCUUUGUAAAGUGCCUUCGAAGAGUCGAGUUGUUUGGGAAUGCAGCUCUAAGUGGGUGGUAAAUUCCAUCUAAAGCUAAAUAUUGGCGAGAGACCGAUAGCGAACAAGUACAGUGAUGGAAAGAUGAAAAGAACUUUGAAAAGAGAGUGAAAAAGUACGUGAAAUUGUUGAAAGGGAAGGGCAUUUGAUCAGACAUGGUGUUUUGUGCCCUCUGCUCCUUGUGGGUAGGGGAAUCUCGCAUUUCACUGGGCCAGCAUCAGUUUUGGUGGCAGGAUAAAUCCAUAGGAAUGUAGCUUGCCUCGGUAAGUAUUAUAGCCUGUGGGAAUACUGCCAGCUGGGACUGAGGACUGCGACGUAAGUCAAG